This 85-nucleotide transfer RNA is filed under the name Leifsonia naganoensis. Its description in RNAcentral is "tRNA-Met". The stretch from base 16 to 83 matches the Rfam family "tRNA". From Rfam's summary of the family: Transfer RNA (tRNA) molecules are approximately 80 nucleotides in length. Their secondary structure includes four short double-helical elements and three loops (D, anti-codon, and T loops). Lineage: Bacteria; Bacillati; Actinomycetota; Actinomycetes; Micrococcales; Microbacteriaceae. The record is from RNAcentral.
GUGGUGACGCUGGCUGGUGAAGGCCCAAUACGAGCACACGGCUCAUAAUCGUGGUGUCGCGGGUUCGAGUCCCGCCCUCGCUACA